RNAcentral lists this long non-coding RNA (204 nucleotides) under Linum usitatissimum (flax). Its description in RNAcentral is "long non-coding RNA (LUSI_LNC003502)". The record is from RNAcentral. Lineage: Eukaryota; Viridiplantae; Streptophyta; Magnoliopsida; Malpighiales; Linaceae.
UUAAAAGCAAAUGCCAAAUGGAAUGAGAGGAGAAGAGAUGGAAAAAUAAAGAAAAAGUUAGUUUCGCUUUUAUCAUAUUCAUUUUAUUUCACGUUUAUAUUGGCACAUGGACGGAAAAAUUACAUGCAUCCUCACACAAUGUGGUUUCCAUAUGGAGGAGUCUGCCUCACCGGCGACCGUCGAUUCUCAUAUCUAGCCCCCGCU